GAGCGGAAACGAUGGGAGCUUACUCCCAGCCGUCGAGCGGCGGACGGGUGAGUAACGCGUAGGAAUCAACCCAGUAGCGGGGGAUAGCUCGGGGAAACUCGAAUUAAUACCGCAUACGCCCUACGGGGUAAAGGCCGGGAUCUUCGGACCGGUCGCUAUUGGACGAGCCUGCGUUGGAUUAGCUGGUUGGUGGGGUAAAGGCUCACCAAGGCGACGAUCCAUAGCUGGUCUGAGAGGAUGAUCAGCCACACCGGGACUGAGACACGGCCCGGACUCCUACGGGAGGCAGCAGUGGGGAAUAUUGGACAAUGGGCGCAAGCCUGAUCCAGCCAUGCCGCGUGUGUGAAGAAGGCUUUCGGGUUGUAAAGCACUUUAAGCAGGGAAGAAUGGCUUAUGCUGAAUAAGUAUGAGAUUUGACAUUACCUGCAGAAUAAGCACCGGCUAACUUCGUGCCAGCAGCCGCGGUAAUACGAAGGGUGCAAGCGUUAAUCGGAAUUACUGGGCGUAAAGCGCGCGUAGGCGGCGUGGUCAGUUGGAUGUGAAAGCCCCGAGCUCAACCUGGGAAUUGCAUUCAAUACUGCCAUGCUAGAGUAUA
This 595-nucleotide ribosomal RNA is filed under the name uncultured bacterium. RNAcentral's name for it is "bacterial SSU rRNA". It matches the Rfam family "Bacterial small subunit ribosomal RNA", at positions 64 to 650 of the family's 1533-position model. The record is from RNAcentral.